CACGUAGGAGGCAAACGUUAUCCGGAUUUACUGGGCGUAAAGCGCGUGUAGGUGGUUCUGUAAGUAGGGCGUGAAAGCUCCCGGCUCAACUGGGAGAGGCCGUUCUAAACUGCAGAGCUAGAGGAUGGUAGAGGGAGGUGGAAUUCCAGGUGUAGCGGUGGAAUGCGCAGAUAUCUGGAGGAACACCAGUGGCGAAGGCGGCCUCCUGGACCAUUCCUGACACUCAGACGCGAAAGCUAGGGUAGCAAACGGGAUUAGAUACCCGCGUAGU
Molecule: ribosomal RNA, 271 nt
Filed under: uncultured prokaryote
Description: partial 16S ribosomal RNA
Rfam family: Bacterial small subunit ribosomal RNA
Source: RNAcentral